CCAAGAAGAAGAAGAACAACAACACACGCUUGGACCGAGAUCUUCAUGUGAAAGGGAGCUUCUUUUUCCACACGCGCUUCGCAUCUCUGAUCCUCUGCGUAACAUCACUAAAGUGUCCUGAUUCUUUACACCUCUUAUAAUGAAAUCAGAGUCCAGACGCCGCUCUUUAGGAAAAUCUCCACAGACUCCUGCUGCUACUGGCUCAAAGAUGUACCACUGCUCAGAUUGUGGGAAGAGUUUUACUAAAAGUCAUCAUCUCAAAGAUCACAAGCGGAUCCACACAGGAGAGAAGCCAUAUCACUGCUCACAGUGUGGAAAAAAUUUUAGUUGUGGAAGUUCUCUCAAACAACACAAUCGCAUUCACACAGGAGAGAAGCCGUAUCACUGCUCACAGUGUGGGAAGAGUUUUACUUGUCGGAGUACUCUCAAAAACCAUGAACGCAUUCACACAGGAGAGAAGCCGUAUCACUGCUCACAAUGUGGGAAGAGUUUUACUUGUCGGAGUACUCUCCAACAGCACAAGGGUAUUCACACAGGGGAAAAGCCGUAUCACUGCUCACAGUGUGGGAAGAGUUUUACUUACCAGCGUCGUCUCAAACAACACAAUCGCGUUCACACAGGAGAGAAGCCGUAUUAUUGCUCACAGUGUGGGAAGAGCAUCCGUUUAACUACAGCGAACUACAGUGUAUGGCCAAAUGUAUGGGGAUGCUUGACCACUACACCCAUAUACAGUAUCUCACAAAACACACCCUCUUGGGCAUGGAGUUCACCAGAGCUUCACAGGUUGCCACUGGAGUCCUCUUCCACUCCUCCAUGAUGACAACACAGAGAUGGUGGAUGUUCGAGACCUUGAAUGCCGUAUUGAAAAUUUUAUGCAUCCUUACAAAGACGUCUGAACCUAGAGAGACCUGCGCUCUGAGGAAAAAGGACUCGCACGGGAAUUAACACUCAAACUCUCUCUCACAGAAUUAGCCGUGUCACCUGAGAGAACACAUCAUGCUGAGUGGAGACUGGAAGAUCCUCACUACAUUGUUUCCUUUUUCCUCUCCUCACACAGUUCUCUUUCUCUGUAUUGAGAUCACCUUAAACACACCCAAGGUCUAUAUGCAUUACAUAACAUGUUUUAAUGUGAAUAAGAUGUUGACUAUACAGUUUUGCUGUAUUAUACAAAAGGUCUCGGUGCAUCUGGAAAAUAUGUUCUCAUUCCCUCAACAGCAGCUCAAAUAAAAAUAUUGCAUGCCGUUAAAGGCAUACCCUCCCAGGGUCCCUCUCUUGAAUUAGCUCCUGUAUGUAAAUAAGGUACAUCCUUCCACAGACAUCAAAUUAUAAUAACAAACAACACCAUUUGGUGGACCAACACAGCAUCUGGGUAUUUAGGGGAGGGCUGACCAAAGAUUCUGGGAAUCUGUAGACAGAUCUCACACAUGAUCACUGUGUGUAGUUUUCUCUACCAGGUAUAUAAGUUGAUGACUUUCUUUUGUUUUGAAUUUGAUUGUAAUGUUGAAUGUAAUUCUUUCUUCUUCUUCUUCUUCUUCUUAUUAUUAUUAUUAUUAUUAUUAUUAUUAUUAUUAAUAGCAGUACUGGAUUUGGAUGUGUUCAUACCUGGUUAAAUAAAUUCUUAGACUUGAUUAUAUUCUGACUUAUUCUGAAAUAUUGUCUCUAGUAGAUUACAUUAAGUCCUUGUUACCGCAAAUCUGCGACCAAGUUAGUACAGGCUAAAAUCCAGGUUCAAGUGGAGCAUUGGGGCACGCCAACUGAGAUUUUAGAGUCCACGCUAACAACUUGGCAUUAAGUUAAGUGUACUUAGAGUAUACAGACUCGAUAGGAAAAACCCGUUUAGGACAACAUCAAGUUGAUGGAUCAAGUCUAAAUAGGGUGAAGUCUAAACCUCUGAUUAUUGUAAUUUCUCUAGUUAACAUGUACAUAGGAAACUAUGGCAUGAUUAUAUACAGCUAAUUUUACUCAGAUGUUAUUGGUCUAUCUCUGUAGAUUUUAGUGGUCUUGACCUCUGACAAUGCAGCUCAGACAGGAUUGGAGUAAUGUGAGCUGAGCACUUGGUAUGUGUAAGAAGUCUAGAGGCUGAAUUUUGAAUAUAUUGCAACCUAGCAAUGGAAUUAGCACGUAAACCAAUAAGGAGAGCAUUGCAAUAGUCAAGACUAGGGAUGCACCGAAUGUUCGACGGCCGAACAUAGCAAAAAAAAGACAUUUUCAGUGUUCUGCCGAAUAAAUGAAAAGGCCGAAUAAAUUUGACGGAGCAAUGACGUGUUUGCUGACGCGCCAAAUAGCCUCGCAACCAGAGUGAGAUACGCGAAUUUCACGACCACCACUUCCAGCAGCGAGCUCCGAGCGAUGAGGGGGCGAGCGCAUGCACGAACUACGUGCACGAGCGCAUGCUCUUCGGAUGUUGACAACCAUGACAUUGUUUACUGUGGACACGUGCGUUUAAUUGUUUCUGUUCGGGAGUAUUCUGUCACGUCACGAGACGUAAGGGAGUAGAGUACGGAAGCAGGUAAAGACGUAUUUAUUUAAGGGAACAUAACAUUAACACGUAUCUAACUAUACUAUACCUACUAUAAUACUCGGCGAGGUGUACAGGGACGCGAGCGGUAUAUAUCCCCAAUAUAACCAGCCCUAUAGAACCCAAUAGAACCAUUUUCUGCACUCUUGUCAAUGCACUUUUUAAUGCACUUUUUUGUUGUAGGCUACAGAGUGUUCCAUUCUUUCAGCAGUCAGUUAUAAGCCUAACAUCGGCUAUUCAAGGGGCUCAAAGAUGACCACAUCAAAAUAUUUUUAUUUUACUCAUUUAUUUAUUUAAAGUUAUAUUGUGCCUUGUUGGUAGCCUAUGUCUGCUGGAAUGAAGAAAAAUGUUCAGUGCUAAAUAAAUAUUUUGAAAUUGUAGUUUUUGUAAUUGAUUUUUUUCUUUGAAAAGCAAGAGAAAAUAGUAAAAAGCACAUUUUGACUUAUUUAAUUUAUGCAAUGGUGAGAAAAACAGUAAAAUAAAUGGGAAAAAACGCGGAAAAACGUGUUCGGUCUUUGGCCUUUGGCCAAGUUUUUCAAUAUAUUCGGCUUCGGCCAAGAAUUUUCAUUUCAGUGCAUCCCUAAUCAAGACGUGAGGAUAUACAUGCAUGUGACACCAUCACAAACAGUGAACUGUCCUUUCAUCUAAGUCUUCUCUUAUAGACUUUCUAUUUGCACUUUUGGGGCUUAAUAAACUAAUUUAAUAAUAUUGUACUUAGUAUACAACAGUAUUCAUCCACUCCUGUAACACAGAAGGAUAAUUUACUGUCACAUUUUUACAGUUUACAUCUAAAACAAAGGUAAACCUUACAACCCGCUAUCUUGGGACGGGAAGUUUUUUGUGCUGUCAUUUUGUGUGCAGGUCCGAACACCCUCCCAGACUUUCCAGCCUGCAAUAGCCUGCCUUGCUCCUGCCUCCAGAAUGACCUCACUGAUUGGCGGCCAUACUUAAAGAGUAAGAUGGAGUGAGAAUGUGUGGGAUGUUGGAGGUGUUUGUGUGAUUUGUUGUUUGGAGAUUGCUUGGUUUGUGUUGCUUGCCCUUGUGGCCAAUACUGUAUUUUGACUGCUGUUCUGGUUUUGACUUUUGCCUGGUUUUCGAAUUUGAGUUUGAUUAUCCCUAUAUUGUUAUUGAGUAUUCUCUUCACAUGUGUGUGUGUAUAAUUAU
Molecule: RNA transcript, 3682 nt
Organism: Ictalurus punctatus (channel catfish)
Lineage: Eukaryota; Metazoa; Chordata; Actinopteri; Siluriformes; Ictaluridae
Gene name: zinc finger protein 331
Exons: 6
Source: RefSeq, a predicted model, not a curated record